This 776-nucleotide unclassified non-coding RNA is filed under the name Leishmania donovani. RNAcentral's name for it is "gene:LdHU3.11.1000(CDS-product:hypothetical_prote in_conserved)". Lineage: Eukaryota; Euglenozoa; Kinetoplastea; Trypanosomatida; Trypanosomatidae. The record is from RNAcentral.
UCAUGCCGGACUCACAGACGGUGCAGACGUUUGUCCUUUGGAACGGCGAGUGGCCGUACGUGAAGCGUGGCGUGUCGGAGGUGCGUGCCGUUGCAGCAGGUGCCAUUGCUUCCGCCAAUGCUCUAGUUGACGUGCCGGCCUACUUGGCACGAGCGCGCAAGUACACGGCAGCGGCCGAUGAUUUCGUCACGGCGCAGUCGGCGAGGGCGAGCUCCAAACUAGAGUCACAUCAGUGGAUAGUGCCGGCAGCCGGGAUCGCGCUGGCGAGUGUCUACGUUGUCGUGCGAAGCGCGCCGUGGGGCGGCGUGAAGAUGAUGCGUAAUGGCCUGGUCACGGCAGGGGCGCUGACGGCAUUCAUGUAUCCACGUGAAAUUGUUCAUCAGAUUGACAGCGCUAUGCCGUUCCAGGCUCCGGCGUCGAUCAGCGAGCAGAAGAACGAGAGUUAGUGCAAGCGCUCUCCACUCGUGCGUGGACGUGCUCCUGUGUGCCUGCGCUUGACAGGCUCUGCGAGGGAGUGCGGGGGCUUCGAUCGCACGCUAGCGAGUGCCAAACAAGAGGAGCUUAGGAGAUAGAACAGCCUCGGCGUGUGCUCGAGAUGUCUCACACAACGGAAUCGCCAUGCCUCACUGUAUGCCUCGACUGCGGCACGGGCGGUGUUUGCACGUGCGCCUCUGUGUGCCUGUGUGUAGAGGAGAGACUCACCUUCUUGUUGUCCCGCGGCUCUGUGAGGCGAGCUCGGGUAUGCGCUGCCUGCACAACGUUCUUUGCGGUGGCUG